This 347-nucleotide long non-coding RNA is filed under the name Homo sapiens (human). RNAcentral describes it as "non-protein coding lnc-SHQ1-1:1". The record is from RNAcentral. Lineage: Eukaryota; Metazoa; Chordata; Mammalia; Primates; Hominidae.
GGGAAGACCAAUAUUAGCAACAAGAAGCCUCUGCCACCAUGGAAGAAGGAUCUGGAAAGAAGGAUGGGAUCUCAGCCUGAUGGCAGAGUAUUUACAGCCUCUGCUGUUGCUCUGCUUCUAUCUGGUGGAUUAAGGAAAGUCACAACUCACAGCCCUAGUGGAAAGUUACAACUGGGAUUUGAGCUAACGAAGAGUUGAAGACUCAGCAACAGGCGCUUGGCUUCACUAUUAACCUGGACAAGGCCAUUAACUCGCCUGUACUUAAUUGGCUUGUUCUGUGACACACUGUUGCCCCAGAAACACCCAUAUGGGUGUACCCCACAUUAAAGAAGCCCGCUCUAUGAAAA